RNAcentral lists this non-coding RNA (84 nucleotides) under Spodoptera frugiperda (fall armyworm). The record is from RNAcentral. Lineage: Eukaryota; Metazoa; Arthropoda; Insecta; Lepidoptera; Noctuidae.
GGUGAAAUAUUUUGACCAAUUUUAUCCUACCCGUCGUCAGUGUCCAUACAGCUGAGAAAUGAAUUGGUUAAGAUAUUGCAUCGC